CCUACGGGUGGCAGCAGUAGGGAAUAUUGCUCAAUGGGGGAAACCCUGAAGCAGCAACGCCGCGUGGAGGAUGAAGGUUUUCGGAUUGUAAACUCCUUUUGUUAGAGAAGAUAAUGACGGUAUCUAACGAAUAAGCACUGGCUAACUCCGUUCCAGCAGCCGCGGUAAUACGGAGGGUGCAAGCGUGACUCGGAAUCACUGGGCGUAAAGAGCGUGUAGGUGGGAUAGCAAGGCAGCUGUGAAAACCCAUGGCCUAACCAUAGAACUGCAUUUGAAACUGUUAAUCUAGAGUGUGGGAGAGGAGAGUGGAAUUCCAGGUGUAGGGGUAAAAGCCGUAGAUAUCUGGAGGAAUA
RNAcentral lists this ribosomal RNA (353 nucleotides) under uncultured bacterium. RNAcentral describes it as "partial 16S ribosomal RNA". It matches the Rfam family "Bacterial small subunit ribosomal RNA", at positions 338 to 708 of the family's 1533-position model. The record is from RNAcentral.